Molecule: transfer RNA, 67 nt
Filed under: Cybister tripunctatus
Lineage: Eukaryota; Metazoa; Arthropoda; Insecta; Coleoptera; Dytiscidae
Also listed under: 2 other names
Description: tRNA-Trp
Source: RNAcentral
AAGGAUUUAAGUUAAACAAACUCACAGCCUUCAAAGCUGUAAAUAAAGAAAGGUACUUUAAGCCUUA